GGGGAAUCUUGCACAAUGGGGGAAACCCUGAUGCAGCGACGCCGCGUGAACGAUGAAGCCCUUCGGGGUGUAAAGUUCUUUCGACAGGAACGAUAAUGACGGUACCUGGAGAAGAAGCUGCGGCUAACUACGUGCCAGCAGCCGCGGUAAUACGUAGGCAGCGAGCGUUGUUCGGAGUUACUGGGCGUAAAGAGUGCGUAGGCGGCGAGCCAAGUUUGGUGUGAAAUCUCCCGGCUUAACCGGGAGGGUGCGCCGAAAACUGGUUGGCUGGAGUAUGGGAGAGGAAAGCGGAAUUCCUGGUGUAGCGGUGGAAUGCGUAGAUAUCAGGAGGAACGCCUGCGGUGUAGACAGCUUUCUGGACCAAAACUGACGCUGAGGCACGAAGGCGUGGGUAGCAAACA
This 401-nucleotide ribosomal RNA is filed under the name uncultured bacterium. RNAcentral describes it as "bacterial SSU rRNA". It matches the Rfam family "Bacterial small subunit ribosomal RNA", at positions 356 to 774 of the family's 1533-position model. The record is from RNAcentral.